This 468-nucleotide ribosomal RNA is filed under the name uncultured bacterium. Its description in RNAcentral is "partial 16S ribosomal RNA". It matches the Rfam family "Bacterial small subunit ribosomal RNA", at positions 28 to 507 of the family's 1533-position model. The record is from RNAcentral.
GACGAACGCUGGCGGCGUGCUUAACACAUGCAAGUCGAACGGAAAGGCCCUGCUUUUGUGGGGUGCUCGAGUGGCGAACGGGUGAGUAACACGUGAGUAACCUGCCCUUGACUUUGGGAUAACUUCAGGAAACUGGGGCUAAUACCGGAUAGGAGCUCCUGCUGCAUGGGGGGGGUUGGAAAGUUUCGGCGGUUGGGGAUGGACUCGAGGCUUAUCAGCUUGUUGGUGGGGUAGUGGCUUACCAAGGCUUUGACGGGUAGCCGGCCUGAGAGGGUGACCGGCCACAUUGGGACUGCGAUACGGCCCAGACUCCUACGGGAGGCAGCAGUGGGGAAUAUUGCACAAUGGGCGGAAGCCUGAUGCAGCAACGCCGCGUGCGGGAUGACGGCCUUCGGGUUGUAAACCGCUUUCGCCUGUGACGAAGCGUGAGUGACGGUAAUGGGUAAAGAAGCACCGGCUAACUACGUA